AGAAUCAACGCUGGCGGCGUGCCUAACACAUGCAAGUCGAUCGAGAAAGUGGAGCAAUCCAUGAGUAAAGAGGCGCACGGGUGAGUAACACGUGACUAACCUACCCUCGAGUGGGGAAUAACCUGGGGAAACCCGGGCUAAUACCGCAUAAUACCCACGGGUCAAAGGAGCAAUUCGCUUGAGGAGGGGGUCGCGGCAGAUUAGUUAGUUGGCGGGGUAAUGGCCCACAAGACGAUGAUCUGUA
This 244-nucleotide ribosomal RNA is filed under the name uncultured bacterium. RNAcentral describes it as "partial small subunit ribosomal RNA". It matches the Rfam family "Bacterial small subunit ribosomal RNA", at positions 26 to 285 of the family's 1533-position model. The record is from RNAcentral.